UGUCCUGAAGGAACUCGGCAAAUUGCCUCCGUACCUUCGGAAGAAGGAGGCCUCCUCGACGGGCAACCGUUGCGGGAGGGGCACAGGCCAGGGGGUAGCGACUGUUUAGCAAAAACACAGGGCUCUGCUAAGUCGGCUUCAAGACGACGUAUAGGGCCUGACGCCUGCCCGGUGCCUGAAGGUUAAGUGGAGGGGUGCAAGCUCUGAAAUGAAGCCCAGGUAAACGGCGGCCGUAACUAUAACGGUCCUAAGGUAGCGAAAUUCCUUGUCGGGUAAGUUCCGACCUGCACGAAUGGCGUAACGACUUCCCCACUGUCUCCAGGACAUGCUCAGCGAAAUUGAAUUCUCCGUGAAGAUGCGGAGUACCCGCGGUUAGACGGAAAGACCCCGUGCACCUUUACUGCAGCUUCAGAGUGGCAUUAGGAAGGAACUGUGUAGCAUAGGUGGGAGGCUUUGAAGCAUUGGCGCCAGCUGAUGUGGAGCCAUAGGUGAAAUACCACCCUGUUGUUUUCUGAUGUCUAACCUCGUUCCGUGAAGCCGGAACAGGGACCCUCUGUGGCGGGUAGUUUGACUGGGGCGGUCGCCUCCCAAAGAGUAACGGA
RNAcentral lists this ribosomal RNA (602 nucleotides) under Salmonella enterica. RNAcentral's name for it is "partial 23S ribosomal RNA". It matches the Rfam family "Bacterial large subunit ribosomal RNA", at positions 1700 to 2304 of the family's 2925-position model. The record is from RNAcentral. Lineage: Bacteria; Pseudomonadati; Pseudomonadota; Gammaproteobacteria; Enterobacterales; Enterobacteriaceae.